GCCCGGAUGGUCUAGCGGUAUGAUUCUCGCUUAGGGUGCGAGAGGUCCCAGGUUCGAUCCCUGGUUCGGGCC
RNAcentral lists this transfer RNA (72 nucleotides) under Eutypa lata UCREL1. Its description in RNAcentral is "tRNA-Pro (AGG) (tRNA-Pro-AGG-2 1 to 3)". It matches the Rfam family "tRNA". From Rfam's summary of the family: Transfer RNA (tRNA) molecules are approximately 80 nucleotides in length. Their secondary structure includes four short double-helical elements and three loops (D, anti-codon, and T loops). The record is from RNAcentral. Lineage: Eukaryota; Fungi; Ascomycota; Sordariomycetes; Xylariales; Diatrypaceae.